Acromyrmex echinatior (Panamanian leafcutter ant) is the source of this 744-nucleotide long non-coding RNA. Lineage: Eukaryota; Metazoa; Arthropoda; Insecta; Hymenoptera; Formicidae. The record is from RefSeq and is a predicted model, not a curated record.
AUAGAGUAGGGGAGCCAGCUAAAAAUACGUGGUGAAUAGAAAAGACGAGAUGGCCAGAGAGAAUCAAGGGAGAGUGGAGCGGAUAGUGAUUCUCUUCUCUGAUUUCUCUUCUCUGAUUGAUUCCGCCAUCUAAUGCACUAAGCACUUCCGCGAAUAUGCAUGUGUGUAUAUGUAUAUGUAUGUCAUACACACAAUACUAGUGCGGUACAAUACUAGUGUACGCAGCACCAUGUUUCAUCACAUUCCUACCAUAUUUCCAACGGUGCACAUGGCGGCUUCCGGGUGCAACCGCUCCACUCUCCUUUGAUUCUCUCUGGCCAUCCCGUAUUCUUUCCUUUUCUACUGUCUAAUAUUUUCAUUUACAGGGACCCCUAUGCCUUGCCUAUAUAUACAAGCUCUUUGCUUUUAACAUACAAACUGAUGUCCACAUUUAGGAUUGUCUUGAGACCUAGAUAACAGAGAUGAGACAUAGAACGGUAUGAUCUAAUUGGCUGUCUGAAUCACGUGAUCAGAGCGCCAUUUUAAUUCACUAUUGCAUCUAAUGCAUCAAGAUACAACUUUGUAUUGUACAUACAUAUAGAUUAUGUACAGAAAAAUUAAGACAAUACAAAGUGCAAUAGAAAACUAUUAUUAUGGUAAAGUGCUGUGUAUUUGGCUGUAAAAAUGUAUACAAAAAAGGGAAACACCAAAAAGAAGAAAAUUCAUUCCUUUUGUUUCGUUAUUUCCUAAUAAAUUCUGAGAUAA